AGUGAACGCUGGCGGCGUGCUUAACACAUGCAAGUCGAACGAGAACGGAUUAUAGCUUGCUAUAAUUGUCAGCUAAGUGGCGCACGGGUGAGUAAUGUAUAGGUAAUAUGCCUCUUACUAAGGGAUAACAAAUGGAAACGUUUGCUAAUACCUUAUACUCCUUAUUAACAGAAGUUAAUAAGGGAAAGAUUUAUUGGUAAGAGAUUAGCCUGUAUUGUAUAAGUUAGUUGGUGGGGUAAUGGCUUACCAAGACUAUGACACAUGACUGGUUUGAGAGAAUGAUCAGUCACACUGGAACUGAGACACGGUGCAGACUCCUACGGGAGGCAGCAGUGGGGAAUAUUGCACAAUGGACGGAAGUCUGAUGCAGCAACGCCGCGUGGAGGAUGACACAUUUCGGUGCGUAAACUCCUUUUAUAUGAGAAGAUAGUGACGGUAUUAUAUGAAUAAGCACCGGCUAACUCCGUGCCAGCCGCCGCGGUAA
This 484-nucleotide ribosomal RNA is filed under the name uncultured bacterium. Its description in RNAcentral is "partial 16S ribosomal RNA". It matches the Rfam family "Bacterial small subunit ribosomal RNA", at positions 29 to 523 of the family's 1533-position model. The record is from RNAcentral.